RNAcentral lists this long non-coding RNA (3529 nucleotides) under Vigna radiata. RNAcentral's name for it is "long non-coding RNA (VRAD_LNC002538)". The record is from RNAcentral. Lineage: Eukaryota; Viridiplantae; Streptophyta; Magnoliopsida; Fabales; Fabaceae.
UUUAUGUAUUGCAUAUCUGAUUGAUGUGGUAUCCUUUUCCUCCCUUCCUUUCACUUGUAAACACUCUUUGGAAAGCUUUUGAAUAGUAGUAGCAGUGGCCAAAAAUUGAGCGUCAGGUCACAGCCUCUUCAUUUUCACCUUCAUCACCACCGGCGUCUGGAACCACUCCAACCCUACCUUCCGGCGAAGCAGCACCAUCACCUCAAUCAAAGCCCACCGAGCCAGGUUCAACUCCACCACCAUCACCGGGCUUAGCCACCUCCAUAGUCGCAACUUUCUCUCUUCCUUUCACAACCCUUGUAGUUCAACUCAUUGUUCUUCUAGACUUGCUUCUUCUGCAUCAUUUGUGUUAUAGACCUUUUUAUUAUGCAUGCUGCUUUUACACACUUCAGUGUCGGAUAUAAUGAUAGGGUAAUUUCACUAUUCGUCGUGAUUGUAUUUUUGUAGGGUGAAAUAAAUUUGAUCUACUUCCAUUGAUUGCUAAUUUGUUUGGCUAUGCAUAGACGAAUAAUUGUCGUAUCGUGGACUGUUUCUACAUCAUUCCGGUUAAUUUAUAUAUAAUAUAUUAUUAAUUUAUAUGUAAAGUCCUACUUUUCUGCUUAUGAGUUUUUUUAAAACCAAUCUUGGAAUCUUAAAGUUUGGUGUAACUUAUAAAAUAUAAAUACUCUCACUUCUCAAAAAAGAUAAAAUGUUCUGCCAAAUGUACAACAAUUAAGUAAUGUAAUUUCAAUUUGUUGACUAUGAAUUAUUAAGUGCAACUAUUGAGACCAAGACCAAUAAGGUAGGAGCGGACAAAAUAAAAAAAAAAUUAAUCUCGUGUUUUAGGUAUUAGUGUUCAUACCAUAUUAUUCUUGGGCUUCCUCUAGAAUAGAUUUGUUUAAAUGGCGUAAAAUAAGCUAAGUAGGAAAAAACAUAGUAACAUUAUUUUCUAAGCAUUAUUAGAAGAAAAGUUGUUUUAUAGAGGAUUGGUAUUAGAUACUCUAGUUUAAUUAGAGAUUCUAAUCCACAAAAUGACUUUAAUUGCAUCAUCUGUUACUUGAAUUUGUUAAUGUUUUACAAGUAGAGAGAUGUAUUUUGGACAUUCUAAUGUGUAUUUGUGUAGUUGAGAAUAAAAGAAGCUUAUAAAUUAUUUAUGAAAAAGGAAAAAGAUGAAUUGCCCAAAGCUCAUCACCUAUAGACAAAGAAAAUUUGGACAAAUUUUAGUGCUACAAGAAGUAGGUUACAUCUAGAUAACAUUGUUUUCUUAAUGUCCAAUGGAGAUUUCUUAAGACUUUUUUAAGCAACAUAACACAAAUACCUUGUCUUUUAAAAUCAACGAGAUUAACUCUUAUCAUUUGAUAUCAAAGCUUUGGUUUAAGAUGUUUUUAUGUGUUUGUGUUUAAUUUUUUCUUGUGUAGAUAUCUAAAAUUGUUCAAAUCAUCCUAUACUUCAUACUUAGUGGCCAAAAAAUUAAAAAAUGUUUAAUUUUUAAUUAACAACAAAAAAGUUUAAAUGAUUUUUAAUUAUGGAGGGUAGGUUAUUAUAUUCCUAUUUUAUAUUGUCAAGGAUAAAAUCUCUAUUCUACUUUUUUUUAAAAGAUGAUUCUUCUCACUAAGUAUUUUGAGAUACUAUUAAUAGGUUAUAUUACACAGUCUCUAUUUUAGAGUUUAGAGUUUGGUUUUGUACCUAAAAGAGUCUUAAACCCAAGAAAAUAUAUUUAAAUUGUUGAAAUUGUAUUAGAAGAAGUUUUCAAUGGAGAUACAAGAAGAAACCAUUCAUCUUUUAAACUUCUUUCAGAGGUGAAUAUUUUGAACUCAAACUAACAUUCAUUUUAAUUAACUUGAUUUUUUUUUCAGAUAAUUAAAAACCAAGCCGGUAAGAAUUGAUAAAAUUGGGAGAAUUGUUUAUGUUGCGGUGGGUGGAGAGAGAGAGUAAAAAACAAUAGAGACAAAUUUAUACUAUAUUUUUGAAGCUCGGGACCAUGUCUUUGCAUUGACUUGAUCUGGUAUGUUACCCAACAAGUUGUUACAUUAUUAAAAAAAUCAAAACCCAGCAAACUGUUCCAUUAAUAAUUCGGUUCUAUCUUCUAUAUAUUCAAACGCAGAUACAACCCACUUUCAAGCCAUUCUUAAUUCUCAGAAACACCAACAGAUUCAUCAAUCAAUCAGGGGCGAUCUGAUAAACACAAAACAUGGCUCAGUUACUUAACAUGGUCAUUCUUGUAGCAAUUGCAGUUUCUGCAACGAUUCUAAGAGGCACAGAAGCUGCAGAAUACACAGUAGGUGACAGCACCGGUUGGAUAAGUGCUCCCACCGGUGGCGCUUCUUUCUAUUCCGACUGGGCUUCCACUAUCACAUUCAGAGAAGGCGACGUCCUAGGUGAGUAAAACUAUCAUCAAUUAGAAAUCUCGUACAUCGACUAGAGAUAAUGCCAAUUUAUAAUAUAGAUGAUGAUAUUUUGAUAAUAUUUUCUGACAAUUUUUUUGAUAACAGAACUAUCAUCAUAAUAAGAACUACCUACUCAUUGUUCAUUGUUUUUAAGGUUUUAGGUUGAUCGAAGUCACCAAUUUAUAAUAUAUACACGGUGUAAACUUUAUUUUACCAUUUAAAGAAAAAAGUUUUUUUAACAAUACUUUUUUAAUAAUGUUUUGACAAUAAAUACACGUCAGCUUGUGAUUGACCCGUUUCAAAUAUUUUUUUAAAUAUAAAUUCAAAUAGAUCAAUAAAAUGAUGACAUGUGUGAUGUUAUAAAAAAGUUGUCAAAAUAUCAGGAUUGAUGUUUUAAAUAUAUCCUAACCAGAUUUAUGUGACAUUAUACUGUACUUAAUAUCGAUCCGCUGUUGAAUCAUCCAUUAAUUCUAGUCUCACAUUGGAGAGACAUGGAUUAGAGUAAUCUUUGUUUAAUUAUGAUGUUUGGUUAUUGCAGAGUUCAGAUUCAGCUCAAGCCACACCGUGGCAGAACUUAACGACAAGGCAAGCUUUGAUAGUUGCAGCGUGGAUCAAAAUACGGAAGUGUUGAGCAAUUCACCAGCUAAAAUCACCCUCAAUCGUACUGGGGAGUUCUAUUUUGCAUGCACCGUCCAAGGCCAUUGCAGCAGUGGCCAAAAACUGAGCGUCAACGUCACAGCCUCUUCAUCUUCACCCUCAUCACCACCUGCUUCUGGAACCACUCCAACCCCACCUUCCGGCGAAGCAGCACCACCACCUCAAUCAAACCCCACCGAGCCAGGUUCAACUCCACCACCAUCACCGGGCUCAGCCACCUCCAUAGUCGCAACUUUCUCUCUUCUUCUCACAACCCUUGUAGUCAACUCAUUGUUCUUCUAAGCUUUUCUUCUGCAUUAUUUGUGUUAUAGUUCAUUUCAUUAUGCCGGAUGCUUUCGAUUUCCGUACGUGUUUGAUUUCACACACUUCAGUGUCGGAUAUACGUAUAGGCUGAUUUCAUUAUUCGUCGUCAUUGUAUUUUUGUAGGGUGAAAUAAAUUUGAUCUAGUUCCAUUGGUGUUCUUAAUUUGUUUGCCUAUCGUGGACUAUUUCUACAUCAUUCCAGUU